AGUGAGGAAUAUUGCGCAAUGGGCGAAAGCCUGACGCAGCGACGCCGCGUGGAGGAUGAAGGUCUUCGGAUUGUAAACUCCUGUUAAGUGGGAAGAAAGACUCUUUCUUAAUAGGGAAGAGGGAUGACGGUACCAUUAUAGAAAGCACCGGCUAACUUCGUGCCAGCAGCCGCGGUAAUACGAGGGGUGCAAGCGUUAUUCGGAUUCAUUGGGCGUAAAGGGUGUGUAGGCGGCAACCUAAGUCAACUGUUAAAGACCCCGGCCUAACUGGGGACAGGCGGUAGAUACUGGGUUGCUAGAGGAAGGAAGAGAGAAGUGGAAUUCUCGGAGUAGCGGUAAAAUGCGUGGAUCUCGAGAGGAACACCAAUGGCGAAGGCAGCUUCUUGGUCCUUUCCUGACGCUGAGACACGAAAGCGUGGGGAGCAAACAGGAUUAGAUACCCUGGUAGUCCACGCCGUAAACGAUGAUCACUAGACGUUAGUCCUGUUUUUACAGGGUUAGUGUCGUAGCUAACGCGCUAAGUGAUCCGCCUGGGGACUACGGUCGCAAGAUUAAAACUCAAAGGAAUUGACGGGGGUCCGCACAAGCGGUGGAACAUGUGGUUUAAUUCGACAAUACGCGAGGAACCUUACCUAGGCUUGACAUGCUUCUGACACCCGUAGAAAUACGGUCUUCCGGGCUUUGGUCCGGACAGUUGCACAGGUGCUGCAUGGUUGUCGUCAGCUCGUGUCGUGAGAUGUUUGGUUAAGUCCUCUAACGAGCGCAACUCCUACUGUCAGUUGCUACUUUUUUUAAAGGCACUCUGACGGAACUGCCUGGGAAACCAGGAGGAAGGUGGGAAUGACGUCAAAUCAUCAUGGUCCUUAUGUCUAGGGCUACACACGUGUUACAAUGGCCAGUACAACGGGUUGCAAACUCGCAAGGAUAAGCUAAUCCCUGAAAGCUGGUCUAAGUUCGGAUUGAGGUCUGCAAUUCGACCUCAUGAAGUUGAAAUCGCUAGUAAUCGUGCAUCAGCAACGGCGCGGUGAAUACGUUCCCGGGCCUUGUACACACCGCCCGUCACACCACGAAAGUUCUUUGUACCCGAAGUCGCCUUAGCUAACCUGUAAAGGGGGCGGGUGCCUAAGGUAUGGGGGAUGAUUGGGGUG
Molecule: ribosomal RNA, 1148 nt
Filed under: uncultured bacterium
Lineage: Bacteria
Description: bacterial SSU rRNA
Rfam family: Bacterial small subunit ribosomal RNA
Source: RNAcentral